This is a long non-coding RNA of Aquila chrysaetos chrysaetos, 1607 nucleotides long. RefSeq lists it as uncharacterized. The record is from RefSeq and is a predicted model, not a curated record. The transcript has 3 exons. Lineage: Eukaryota; Metazoa; Chordata; Aves; Accipitriformes; Accipitridae.
GGUUGGUUGGUUUGGUUUUAAGCGUUAAACUUGGAUUUCCUACUUAGGCUAGAGAACCUAGUUGAGAAUCUGCUAGAAAUGAUAACACCAGUGAAAGUGACUUUUCCCUUACGGAUAUGAACCUGACUGUUGGCAGAGACUGCCAGGAACGAUAGCUGCCUCAGAGACAAUACAGCUCGUUGAAGAUGUAUUUUGUAAAACGUUAAGUUGCAGAUACGGUCGUGUUGCAGCAGGCGCAGUCUCUGGGCUCUCCCCUGCAGCCCCAAGUAAAGGCAGCUUUGGGCCUGUCGGCAAGGGCAGGGAUCUGGAGCCCUGUCUGAGUGUGCGAAGUGGGUGAUACGCGUGCAGGUAAGUCAGCUGGGAGCGUUUUUCAGUUCCUCCUGCAGGCACGAGUAGAUACAAGUGUAGCUGAACUAGCUGCAGGCCACCUACCCUGUGUAUGGUGAGCGAUGUAGGGAAGGACAGACAGUGGCCACCAUUGGUUGCAAAGGUCUCCCAAGAAAGUGAAUAAAUUGGUGAUGAUUAUUAUCCAGCCUAUGCUGGAUAAUGCGCUACUAUCAUCGCUGUGUUGCUGGCUGUGCCACAGCUUGUUUAAAGCCAGUUUGAGUAGCCGUGCAACACUAUUAUAUUGACUUUGUAGCCCUACACUGAAGGAAAAAGAAUGAUCCUGAGAUUUUUUAAUUCUUUUUCAUCUACGAGCACUGGGCAGAUGCUGAGGAUUCUCCCUCUCUCUCUUUGAGCUUGUUACCUGCAGUGGGGGCAGAGGGUGAGAUGGAGUUUCCCUGCCAGGUCCUGGGGCCUGAAUCUUUCGGAUCUGGACCCAGCAACUUCCUAGACAGAUACCUGUCCUGACCCUUGUAGCAGCACUUAAUGCUAAGUAAAUUCAAGGCUACACAGCGAUUGGAGCACUGCGGGAACAUACAAGGAACCAAGAUUUUCAAAAGCGCCUGUGGAUUUUGAAAUCUCAGACUUCAGGCAUCUAUCCUGAGAAAACCUAGGGAAACCCAGCGGCAAACUUGCACCAAAGCAACCACUUCUGCAAAACCAGUGCUGCUGUGUGUCUGCCCUACCCAGAAGCGUUCUCAAAAUAUUCUGCCUCCUAGGAUUUUCUAAAUACUCUCCAUUCUUCCCCAUCAUAAUUCACACCUUAUUUUUUCCCCUCUGUGUGACUCAGUAACAGUCACCUCCCUUUUUUAUUUUUCCUAGUUAAAGGUCAGCCUGAGCUGUGUGUUACAGAUGAAAGGAUGCAGCCCAAAGCCAGCCUAGGGGCCCAGUUUGUGUUGUGGAUGUCUCCUGAGGGCAGUUCUGUUUGCAAGUGUGUGCCUUGCAACUUCUGAGAAGCCUACAGAGAUUGCUAAUGUUUAGGAUAAGUUCUGUCAAAUUUAUUAUUCCGCUAGUAAUUUUUUUUUUUUUCAUAUUUCCUUCACAGAACCCAGCCACUUUCAGGCUGUAGUUUUGAGCCUACUUUGUGCCAAGUGUCAGGAAAGACUUUUUGUCCUCAAAGCUGAAGAGACAUUUCCCACCAGCGCAGACGAAGGUGUCUUUUUCCUCCAAGUACAUAGAGGAGGAGAGGGCAGAAACUGAGCUAAGUUCUCUUCUCACACUUG